This 388-nucleotide long non-coding RNA is filed under the name Elaeis guineensis (African oil palm). RNAcentral describes it as "long non-coding RNA (EGUI_LNC012022)". The record is from RNAcentral. Lineage: Eukaryota; Viridiplantae; Streptophyta; Magnoliopsida; Arecales; Arecaceae.
CGGGUAGUGCAAGUUGUAUUAUAAAGCACAAGCUCAUAUUUAUGCUUUGCAUUGCUAGAAAGAUGAGUACUCGUAUUAUUUGUCUUCUCAUGAUUGAAACUCCUACAGAAAUAUAUUUGAGUGUCGAUCGAUGUGGAAAGCGAUCAUGGAGGCUCCUUUCAUGCAACUUAAGAUAGACACUCUAUCAGAAAGAUUCAUUGAUAUUACUAGUAACAGUGACAGUGAUGAACAGAUGAAUUUCACGUCGCAAACAAACGUAUAACUCAUUUCAUUCAAAAGAUCUAUUCAUUCUAAUUUGCAAAUAUCAUUCACUUUCAAAUAAUUUUUUCAUACAAAAAGUUCGCUCUAAAUCAUAACUAACAUUUGCUUCUUUACCAUAUAAAAGGAC